This 483-nucleotide ribosomal RNA is filed under the name Pezizomycetes sp. PIMO_122. RNAcentral's name for it is "eukaryotic LSU rRNA". The stretch from base 146 to 299 matches the Rfam family "5.8S ribosomal RNA". The record is from RNAcentral. Lineage: Eukaryota; Fungi; Ascomycota; Pezizomycetes.
AUCUUACCUGUUGCUUCCGUACCGCGUGGACUUCGGUCCCCUCAUGCUGUACUUCGGUACGGUUCCAGAGUGCCGGUGCGGAAGGUAUACAUCAAACUCUUGCAUUCCAUGUCUUCUGUCUGAACUGUUAAUAACAAAAGUUUAAAACUUUCAACAACGGAUCUCUUGGUUCUCGCAUCGAUGAAGAACGCAGCGAAAUGCGAUAAGUAGUGUGAAUUGCAGAAUUCAGUGAAUCAUCGAAUCUUUGAACGCACAUUGCGCCUCCUGGUAUUCCGGGAGGCAUGCCUGUUCGAGCGUCAUUAAAAACCACUCAAGCUCUUUUGCUUGGUCAUGGAAGAAGAGUCCGCUUGCCGGUCUCCCUUUCGAAAUGCAAUGGCGGAAGGUCUCUUGUACCCAGCGUAGUAAUAACUUUUCGCUUUGUGCAUUGAUUCAUUCCUGCCGUCAAACCCCCAAUUUUCUUAGGUUGACCUCGGAUCAGGUAGG